Molecule: long non-coding RNA, 585 nt
Organism: Esox lucius (northern pike)
Lineage: Eukaryota; Metazoa; Chordata; Actinopteri; Esociformes; Esocidae
Source: Ensembl
CUGCAUUGUUAGUAACAGAUGCAGGCACAGCUGGAGAGUCCCUUACCUCUAUGAAAAUCCCACCACUAGGGGCAGCAACUGGCACAGAUGCUCAGGGUGGAUGGACAGGAUUGAUAGCUUGCAGAACAUCAGUUACCUGCAUGAGCUGCUCCACUACACUGAGCCAGAACACCCUGGACCUUGGGAUUUAACUUCUCCAGAUUACUGCAGCCCGGCUGAUGUUCGGUCUGCACCAGUUUUUCCAUUUUACCCCACUGUUAGGACACUCCACUGGCUCCCAGCUCGCAUCCACUAGCUGAGCUGCGAGGGGAACUGCCCUGCCUACCUUCAGGCAAUGAUCAAACCCUUCAUCCCUAUCAAGGCUCUUCAUCCUCCCACAUCUGAUCUCUUGGCUGUAGCCUGUUUGUUCCAUCUCACAGAAAGGAUAACCACCAGCCAAAUACAGCACAUAAUAACCCUGAAAAUGUUUAUUGUUUAUGAAAUGAAAACCCAUUUUUAUGAAAUGGGUGCAGUUCAAAUUAUUCUUUUAAAAUUGGGAUUUUAUCCUAAUUUACAUUUUUGCAAACCUGGUUGAAAUUAAAAGCA